GGUUGGCUUAGAAGCAGCCAUCAUUUAAAGAAAGCGUAAUAGCUCACUGGUCGAGUCGGCCUGCGCGGAAGAUGUAACGGGGCUAAACCAUGCACCGAAGCUGCGGCAGCGACGCUUAGGCGUUGUUGGGUAGGGGAGCGUUCUGUAAGCCGUUGAAGGUGUCCUGUGAGGGGUGCUGGAGGUAUCAGAAGUGCGAAUGCUGACAUAAGUAACGAUAAUGCGGGUGAAAAGCCCGCACGCCGGAAGACCAAGGGUUCCUGUCCAACGUUAAUCGGGGCAGGGUGAGUCGACCCCUAAGGCGAGGCCGAAAGGCGUAGUCGAUGGGAAACAGGUUAAUAUUCCUGUACUUGGUGUUACUGCGAAGGGGGGACGGAGAAGGCUAUGUUAGCCGGGCGACGGUUGUCCCGGUUUAAGCAUGUAGGCGGGAGUUUUAGGUAAAUCCGGAACUCUUCUAACGCUGAGGUGUGAUGACGAGGCACUACGGUGCUGAAGUAACAAAUGCCCUGCUUCCAGGAAAAGCCUCUAAGCAUCAGGUAACAUCAAAUCGUACCCCAAACCGACACAGGUG
Molecule: ribosomal RNA, 568 nt
Filed under: Enterobacter sp. x29
Lineage: Bacteria; Pseudomonadati; Pseudomonadota; Gammaproteobacteria; Enterobacterales; Enterobacteriaceae
Description: bacterial LSU rRNA
Rfam family: Bacterial large subunit ribosomal RNA
Source: RNAcentral